Molecule: ribosomal RNA, 473 nt
Filed under: uncultured organism
Description: partial 16S ribosomal RNA
Rfam family: Bacterial small subunit ribosomal RNA
Source: RNAcentral
CACUCCUACGGGAGGCAGCAGUGGGGAAUUUUGGACAAUGGGCGAAAGCCUGAUCCAGCAAUGCCGCGUGAGUGAAGAAGGCCUUCGGGUUGUAAAGCUCUUUUGUCAGGGAAGAAACGGUGAGAGCUAAUAUCUUUUGCUAAUGACGGUACCUGAAGAAUAAGCACCGGCUAACUACGUGCCAGCAGCCGCGGUAAUACGUAGGGUGCAAGCGUUAAUCGGAAUUACUGGGCGUAAAGCGUGCGCAGGCGGUUUUGUAAGUCUGAUGUGAAAUCCCCGGGCUCAACCUGGGAAUUGCAUUGGAGACUGCAAGGCUAGAAUCUGGCAGAGGGGGGUAGAAUUCCACGUGUAGCAGUGAAAUGCGUAGAUAUGUGGAGGAACACCGAUGGCGAAGGCAGCCCCCUGGGUCAAGAUUGACGCUCAUGCACGAAAGCGUGGGGAGCAAACAGGAUUAGAAACCCGUGUAGUCCCAU